This 465-nucleotide ribosomal RNA is filed under the name uncultured Klebsiella sp. RNAcentral describes it as "bacterial SSU rRNA". It matches the Rfam family "Bacterial small subunit ribosomal RNA", at positions 338 to 795 of the family's 1533-position model. Lineage: Bacteria; Pseudomonadati; Pseudomonadota; Gammaproteobacteria; Enterobacterales; Enterobacteriaceae. The record is from RNAcentral.
CCUACGGGGGGCUGCAGUGGGGAAUAUUGCACAACGGGCGCAAGCCUGAUGCAGCCAUGCCGCGUGUGUGAAGAAGGCCUUCGGGUUGUAAAGCACUUUCAGCGGGGAGGAAGGCGGUGAGGUUAAUAACCUCAUCGAUUGACGUUACCCGCAGAAGAAGCACCGGCUAACUCCGUGCCAGCAGCCGCGGUAAUACGGAGGGUGCAAGCGUUAAUCGGAAUUACUGGGCGUAAAGCGCACGCAGGCGGUCUGUCAAGUCGGAUGUGAAAUCCCCGGGCUCAACCUGGGAACUGCAUUCGAAACUGGCAGGCUAGAGUCUUGUAGAGGGGGGUAGAAUUCCAGGUGUAGCGGUGAAAUGCGUAGAGAUCUGGAGGAAUACCGGUGGCGAAGGCGGCCCCCUGGACAAAGACUGACGCUCAGGUGCGAAAGCGUGGGGAGCAAACAGGAUUAGAUACCCUAGUAGUC